ACCGCUGAGCCACCCGGGGUGCCUGAAUGUUGGUUUUCAAAAUACAGAAAUGGGGAAUGGAUUCAUGCUUAUGUUAGCAGCCGUCGUAACGCACACUGUUAUUUUUUGACAAACAAAGGAAUUGAGACACACACUGUUCUCUUUCAGCGCCCAGCACGGGUGGCCCAGAGCCCGGGGGUUGCUGUGCCUCACCGCGGGGAAGCGACCCAGAGGGGCCGCGGGUUUGGGGCUGGCCUUGCAAAUACGGUUCCGCGGCCCUCCUCACACGGGCCCCCUAACCCGGCAGGUGCCCCCGGGGAGCCCUCCUCACACGGGCCCCCUAACCCGGCAGGUGCCCCCGGGGAGCCCUCCUCACACGGGCCCCCUAACCCGGCAGGUGCCCUUGGGGAGCCCUCAUCAGAUGGGCCCCCUAACCCGGCAGGUGCCCCCAGGGAGCCCUCAUCAGAUGGGCCCCCUAACCCGGCAGGUGCCUCCGGGGAGCCCUCCUCAGAUGGACCCCCUAACCCGGCAGGUGCCCCCGGGGAGCCCUCCUCACACAGGCCCCCUAACCCGGCAGGUGCCCCCGGGGAGCCCUCAUCAGAUGGGCCCCCUAACCCGGCAGGUGCCCCCGGGGAGCCCUCCUCAGAUGGACCCCCUAACCUGGCGGGUGCCCCAGGGAGCCUCAGGGAGCAAAUGAGCAAACGCACAACCAGCUGCGCAACCAGCCUUCCGCAGGACGACAGGAUCUGCGCUCACCAGGGGAUGGCGACAGCACCGUGCACCGCGGGACUUCGGCUCUGUCGCCUCCCCACCUCCCUUGACUCACUCCGACCUCUGCUUCUGGAGGAAAUGUCUGUGCUCCUUAGGGCCUCCAUCCUCCCUGCGUGGGGUCAGGGACCAGCCCGUCGCUACAGCACCGGGGCGGGCAAGGAGGCGACCCUCCCGGCGUCCCUGCCCCAUCACGACAGCACGUUGUCCCACGACCUGGGAGCCACGACGGUCAUCACAGGAGGACGCAGGCCGGUGGGGCGCGGUGCCGUCUGA
RNAcentral lists this long non-coding RNA (1023 nucleotides) under Canis lupus familiaris (dog). RNAcentral's name for it is "lncRNA (ENSCAFG00000043627.2)". Lineage: Eukaryota; Metazoa; Chordata; Mammalia; Carnivora; Canidae. The record is from RNAcentral.